UUUGAACCUCUUUUCUCAUGGGUGACAAAAGUUUUCCUCUUAAAAGCUCUAGCGUUUGAUCAACUUUCUUUUGUCCCAUGAGUUCUCCUUCUUGAUCUAUGCAAGCUUCUUGUAAGGACUUUUCUUUUGUGUUCAUGCUUGCAAGUGUUCCUUUACAAAAGGAAAGGCUAGGUUGUUCAACAAGAAGCAUGUUUGUAAAGGUAUUUUCAAUAUGCUUGACUUGUUGAAUGACCUUGUGGGAAGGAACACUAUUCUCCCACGCCUUUUGUUUCCCAAAAUUUUUUUCUUUUUCUAUUUUUUCUUCAUCCCUUUUGUGUUUCAUUUGUAUUUGGUCUUUUACCACUUGGGAAUGUGGUAAAG
This 360-nucleotide long non-coding RNA is filed under the name Phaseolus vulgaris (common bean). RNAcentral's name for it is "long non-coding RNA (PVUL_LNC001584)". The record is from RNAcentral. Lineage: Eukaryota; Viridiplantae; Streptophyta; Magnoliopsida; Fabales; Fabaceae.